GACGAACGCUGGCGGCGUGCCUAACACAUGCAAGUCGAACGGAAAGGCCCUACUUUCGUGGGCUGCUCGAUUGGCGGUGGGGUGCGUAAGAGGUAGGUAACCGGACCUAGACUUUCGGGUAGCUUCAGGUAACUAGGGGUAAUACCGGAUAGGAGCGCAUCAUGUAUGGUAGGGGUUGGAAAUUUUCGGCGGUUGGGAAUGGAACCGCGGCUUAAUAGCUUGUUGGUGGGGUAGUGGCUUGCCAAGGCAUGGACGGGUCGCCGGCCUGAGAGGGUGACCGGCCACAGAGGGACUGAGAUACGGCCGAGACGCCUACGGGGGGCAGGAGUGGGGAAUAUUGCACAAUGGGCGGAGGCCUGAUGCAGCAACGCCGCGUGCGGGAUGACGGCCUUCGGGUUGGAAACCGCUUUCGCCUGUGACGAGGCGUGAGUGACGGUAAUGGGGAAAGAAGCACCGGCUAACUACGU
This 467-nucleotide ribosomal RNA is filed under the name uncultured bacterium. RNAcentral describes it as "partial 16S ribosomal RNA". It matches the Rfam family "Bacterial small subunit ribosomal RNA", at positions 28 to 506 of the family's 1533-position model. The record is from RNAcentral.